UAAACAUCAAACAAAAUGCUCCCACCACCACCUCCUCCUCCUCCUCCUCCUCCUCCACCAUGGAUGAAUGGGGUUUUGCUGUUCUCCAUGAGCCAGCUGAGAAGGAUGGUGCGGCUUUUGAGGGGCCGGGGCCGGGGCCGCGGCCCAUGCACGUGGCUGUCGCUUGCCCCAUGGACCAAUAAGAACUUGCAGCCACUGCUGAAGGUUUGAAUUCCUGAGGGGCACCAGCAGACAAACUUAGAUUGAGGUCACCCCAGUUUUAGCCGAGGGGAGUAGGAGAAAGGUUGAUGUCACUCGGCCCCGCACAGCAACAAUGGCGCUCUUUUCUCGUGGGCGUCGGGGGGCAUCGCAGAGCGCGCGCACACACACCCACCCCCCAUUUGUUUUGGUAGGUUUCUCCACAGGACAGGGCCUUUUGUCUGCCUCUGUUGGUGUCCAAGCGCCAUAACCACAAGCGACACCGGUUGCUGUCGUCCGACCUGCAAUGUGGUUGUGGAAAUGCGUGAGAGGGCGAAGGGCGGGGACGGGGUUGGGUUGGGUUGGGUUGAGAUUCCGAGGUCACCAUCGCUUUCCUGCUGUCUAACAACAACUCACCCAACCUUUGCUUGCCUUUGACAACUUUUACCCACCUCACCACAACUUGAAGGCUGUCUUUGCUUGUCGCCUCCCCAAGGAUUUCUACUUGAUGUUUCGACCUACUGCGAGGAUAAAAUGCAUUGCUCUCUCAGAUGCUAUUUGUUGGUGCAUGAUGAUAAGAAUGCAGAAGGAAAUGUUGUUUCUGAAAGAUAGACAAAGUUAGCAUUGAUGCUGGAUAUUGAAAACAUGGAGGACCGGUUGUUCAGACUGCAGAUGUCGAAGAGGAAGUCUACUGCCCAAGAAAUGGCUAAUGGUGCUUCAUCUGCAAGCAAUGCUUUUGUUGCAAACGCAAGCCUUGCUAACUCAAUAAUUAUUCCGAGCUUUCAGAUCUUCCAUCACUUCUGUCAUUCUGGCCUUGCUUUGUGGAAGUUGACAGCAGCAUUGAAUCACAGCCGUAUUAUCAGCGAAGAAAUAUGCCCUGCAGACUAUUAAAAAGACAAGAUUUUGUUUCUUCUCUCUGUGGAGCCUUCUCUGAACAUUUAUCAUAUCUGCACCUCAAGACAGAUUGCAUGAUGUGGAUCGAUCGAGAACGAAGACCCGAAGGCAAUCAUGGAGAGAUGAGUCUUCUCGUGUGUCCUGCAUCUUAUUGAAAUGAUUGGAUUCAACCGCUAGAAGCAAGGAUCGAAGAGGAACAACAGGCACCGGCUAAAGACCAAAGAGAAGAGGUGGUGGAGCAGAAACAUCAUGCUGUAUUGAUUGAUAUCUUUUCCAUGGCAUGAACGAACGGGCUCAUCAAUGCACAUUCUUCAACAUAUAUUAUGGCUUGUGUAGACCCAAGACGACAGACAGACUGAAACAGAAGAGCAAGAGACCUAUAGGGUGAACUGAACUCACCCAGUUGUCUCCUUAGAUGAGAUGUUUUGUUACCUAGAUCUUGCUGCCGUCUAUCAUUUGCUUGCAACAUGUUAACUUGAUAACAUGGACAUGAUCUUUCAUGGAGAUGGACUGGCGUGCAGCAAAGGCCCCAAAGAGGAAGCCUGUCCUGUCACUUCAAACGACCAUGUCUACAAGGUCUGUGACAACUACUAGUCUCUGCAUGAUAUGAUGCUAAAGGAUCUUUCUUUAACCCUUGUCCAACCUCAGAAGCAAAAGAGAUCAAGCACUUGGGUGUCACAGGGAAGGCAACAUGAUGAUGUCUGAUAAAAAGAAAGAAAAGGAGAUGGAUUACACGGAAGACUGAAAAGUAGACAGAUGACCUCCACAUCCAUACUUGACACACAAAACAGCCCAGGUUCAAGAAGAGAUCCAACAAGAAAAGAAGGAAUCCAUCAAGUAUUAUUAUCUACAGGACAUUAAUCUGGUAGUGGCUCACUUUUCGAGUCUCACGGAUCAAAGAUCAAGUCUCCACAUUUGCAUUUCCAGCUCAGGGGCUUGUAGUUGGAGCUGUAGUCACCCCUCACGGUGGCCGUACCCAAGAAUUGCCUGCUUCGACUCUUCUUUUCUUGUGGGAUUACUGGCACCUGAACUGCUUCACAAUGGCCACAUGUGAUGCACCUCCUCUCGCAGAUUGGUGGUCUUGAUCCAACCAAGGCUCUUACCGUCGCCUUCUCCUCUCCCCUUCCCUGCAUUCUAAGAUAGUCAUAUGUUGUUAUCAGGCGUAGAGAUUGCAGUUCUCACCAGAAAUGAGCGAAGGCCUUACACUUGCAACCUCAAGAAGCGUAAGCAAUGAUCUACCUGCAACCAUGGCACUGCAAACUUACUACUGUACUGUCAGAAGGAAGUGAUUAGCCACAGAAAGAAAACAAGCUUACCUUCAACAGAAUGCUUGAUCGGAUUGUAGCUCAAGAGGAAAAGCAUUAAGAGGAGAAGACAGAGUGGACUUUUUGUUCCGAUACGAUCGAGAGGUCCCAUUUCUUAAUGGGAUUUGAUCGAGUAAAUGAUGAGUGGCAAAGGGAGAGGAGUUCGAGUUAGAAUGCAAAAGCUUGUUCUUCCAAAUCUGGGCUUUAUAAGCAACCACAUGCACAUGCACAUGCACAAGCAGAGGAAAGCUCCUGAAAGCCACUGCAAAGGUGAGGCGAUCAGGUUUGGGGGGACGCUGCAACGCAGCAGCUGUAUGCUUUCACUUUACCGUUCGAGCAGUCCCCAUCUUUACUGAUCGUCUUCUUCUGGGCCGACGGUGGACUCUUGUGGUUGUGCUGUUGCGGCAGAUUGGAUGCCGCACGUAGCAAAGCUCCCUCCUUUUCUCUUAGGACUGUAAACGAGGAGAGCAUAUGACUGCAUAAUGCAUGCAAACACUGCAACUUGUCAACGAUGAGCAUCGAGCCUUUUCAGAGUGCGUGGUGGUGUGCGCUAAAGUUGACAUGAACGCAUGAAUCAAUGAACACCAACUAUGACUUUGAGGGUGUUGCAGUGAUGCUCUUCUCUUGUUUUGAUUGGGAGAGAGAAUAUAUUCGGAUGCUUCUUUUCAUGCAUUGCU
Musa acuminata AAA Group (dessert banana) is the source of this 3052-nucleotide long non-coding RNA. RefSeq lists it as uncharacterized. The record is from RefSeq and is a predicted model, not a curated record. The transcript is spliced from 2 exons. NCBI's taxonomy places the organism in Eukaryota, Viridiplantae, Streptophyta, Magnoliopsida, Zingiberales, Musaceae.